RNAcentral lists this ribosomal RNA (433 nucleotides) under uncultured bacterium. RNAcentral's name for it is "partial 16S ribosomal RNA". It matches the Rfam family "Bacterial small subunit ribosomal RNA", at positions 29 to 507 of the family's 1533-position model. The record is from RNAcentral.
AACGAACGCUGGCGGCAUGCCUAACACAUGCAAGUCGAACGAGACCUUCGGGUCUAGUGGCGCACGGGUGCGUAACGCGUGGUAACCUGCCCUUAGGUUCGGAAUAACUCCCCGAAAGGGGUGCUAAUACCGGAGAAUGUCUUCGGACCAAAGAUGUAUCGCUGUUGGAUGGGCCCGCGUUGGUUUAGUUGGUUGGUAGGGUAAAAGCCUACCAAGGCGACGAUCCAGAGCUGGUCUGAGAGGAUGCUCAGCCACAAUGGGACUGAGACACGGACCAGAAUCCUACGGGAGGCAGCAGUAGGGAAUAUUGGACACUGAGCCAAAGCCUGACAAAGCCAUGCCGCGUGAGUGAUCAAGGCCUUAGGGUUGUAAAGCUCUUUUACCCGGGAUGAUAAUGACAGUACCGGGAGAAUAAGCUCCGGCUAACUCCGUG